UCAAAGGUAAAAUACGUUUUAGAAUUUCUUUCUACGCCAAACUAUAGUGUAAAAUAUAGAUUGUUCUACAGUUAUUUUGUCUCGCAACAUCUAUACGUAGUUGUGUGUAACCCGGCACAAAAUUUUAGUAUGCGAGUGUACUGGUUAAUAUUUUUGUCAUCACAGAGGCCACAACAUUCUCACAAGUAUGCAGGUGGCGCUAUUGUUUUUCCUCCGUGUUCUGUGAUGGCGGUCGUAUGUGCGGGGUGCUACGAGCGUCGCGUUUGCUUGAUCGUGUGUUUUUGUGUUUGCUGUUAUGAAGUAGGUCGCAGUUAGCGUGCACAGAAGUGCCUGAAGAUACCUUGUGUCACGCUGCAAACUCGCCGUAUGCGUGGCGCGCCAGGCAAAUGUGGCCCAACGAUUUUAUGCCGUGGAGUACGGUUUCUUUGUUCUCGUUCUGGAAAGUUGGGUGGACGUCGCAAAGAAUGUGUGUUAGCGCGCCUCAGCUCGUCCACUACGCAGCGGCAUGUAUGCGGGGAGUAACAUCGUCGACGCAGCACCGGCAACUUGGAGAGUGCUUCGCGACCGCGUCGUACCAUUCAAAAGUGGCGAGGCUGUGACCCAUAACAGUGCCUACAUAACGGAGGAGCCACCAGACCCCUUGGCUAUGCCUGCCGUAGUGCAACGUAUAAUCUGGAUGGUCGGGUCAGGUACACCUAGGAAAUGUUGUAUACAUUGGCAACGAUAACUGGGGCCUGCUCCAGUGCCAUCGCCGGGAUUCCCUGUUCUGCAAAAAGCUGACAUAACUGAUGUGGGGAGCCCUGGCGCUCGGUGUAGGAGUAUCACAGGGGCUCCUUGUCGGUGCUUGAAGGACGGCAAUGCUGUUGAGAAGCCGACAUUGAGCCCCGAUAAAUUGGAAGCUGUGGGUAGUAAGUAUCAUUCACAUUUUUUCAAGUUUUUGUAAUGUUUGUAACAAUGCAUGUAUUGCACCGAAAUGAUUAACUUUUCAGAUGCAUUUGAUGCAUAUCUUUCGAAAUGUGGUACCCCUGAGGAGAAAAAAAUCAUCUUCUCAUGCUUGGUUUUGGCCGAGCGGUUGAAUCGAGUGACAAAGUUUUUCGCGUUUAGGUAGUCUAAGAAGAAACAAAAGCAGAAUUAACAAACCAGCUUAUUUGUGGCUACUCAUGAGUUGCAUUUCUUUGUUUAAAAGUGCCUGUGAAGUGGCGCUAACCUACUAUCAGGUCCAGAAUUUUCGGUUAACACCGCUUCCAAAAGCUCGCGUUCUAAUUUGGUUUUUUCAAGGCCAGAACUUCCGUAUUCGUCAUCCGCGGAUAGCAACGGCAACUUUUGCAGUGUAGAGCAAUAUUCAACCCUUCUCCCGAUAUGCAACACCUGUAGCGUAGUUGUAGCUGGUCGUUCAGGCACUGAAUUGCUGUGCAGAUGUAGGCAACAACACAAGAGUUAAGACGAGAGACAUGCGGCAACUCUUUAACAAAAAGCUUUAUUUUUGCAAGCCCAUGUUUUAGCUGUCAGUCACUGCAUUGCACAUGCGCAAUUCGCACCCUUAGGAAGAAAGUAAACUGUCUGACAAGUGUACAGAAGGUGUGCUGAUACACACAGAGCCAAGUCGCGAAAUCUUUUCAGCCUCAAUUAUUUUACGUGUUAGUUGAUCACCGCUUCUGCUGGAAACGGUACACUGAGCAAACGACGGUUCACAGUCACGCGAACUGCAAUGACAUUCAAGCCUACUGUCACGCACAUUUUUCUUGACAUUGUAUGAGUGUUCUCUCAGCCGGUGAUUGAUGCAGUGUCCCAUUUGACCUAUAUACUGUUUACCACAAGGGGGAUACAAUAAACCACAUUGCUAACACAGGUGACAAACGGAAUUUGGUGUUUUGUUGCAUAUGUGUGGCGUGCUGUGACAUUGCCUUUGAUUACACAACUUUAGAAUGAUAUGCAAUUUUCUUGAUAUUGUGAGAGCUUAUGAAUGUAGGGUAUGACGGCCUGUUUUAUGUCUGUCAGAUGCAGUGACCACAUGACCUCUACUCUGAAAAGCGCAUGCACCGAGUGGUUGCCAUGUGAUCACUCCAGUAUCUGACCGACUUAAAGUGGCUGUCAUACCAUACAUUCAUAAGCUGUCUCACAAUAUCGUGAAAACUGCAGAUCGUUCCAAAGUUAAAGUUGUCUUCUUUGCACCUCAGAAGCUUAUAAAGUUGUGUAAUCAAAGGAAAUGUUUCAGGGCAGCACACAAGUGUAACAAAAAGCACAAAAAUCCGUUCGUCACCUAUGUUAGCAACAUGAAUUACUGUACCCCUCUUUCUUGUGGUAAACAGUACAUAGGCCAAACAGGACGCUGUAUCAAUGACCAGCUGAGAGAACACUCUAUAAUGUCAAGAAAAACGUGCAUGACAGUUGGCUUGCAUGUUGUUGCAGUUCAUGUGCCAGUGAACCAUUGUUUGCUCGGUGUACUGUUGUCAGCAGUAGCGGUGAUCAACUAACACGUGAAAUUAUUGAAGCUGAAAAGAUUGCGCGACUUAGCUCUAUGUGUGUCAGCAUCUGUACACUUAUCAGACAGAGUUGACCUACCUAAGGGUGUGAAUUGCGCAGGUGCAAUGUGAUGAGUGACGGCUAUAAACAUGGGUCGCUGAAAAUAAAGCUUUUUGUUGGAAGUCAGCACACGUCUAUUGUCUCGUCAUUUCUGUCGUCAAUAUCUGUGCUGCAAUUCACCAAUAUGUUGUACCAACAAGUCAAAUUUAUCACUCACUCAUUCGAACUUUCUUUCAUCACGAAUGAAAUGUGGUUUUGGUACCGUGGUAGAGCAUUCACAUCAUUUGUUAAUUUUUGUUUUCUUCAAAGACUGAACUGGAUGUAACAAGCAGCCGUGGCAUUGCAAGGAAGCUUUAUGUUAAAGGAAUAUAUUGAUACUAACGUCUUAACUGCUUAGCGCAAUAAAGGAAGUUGUGGGUAUUGUUUAUUGUGCUUUCCUUGCUCUUGUGUCCAAACUUAUAGCUAUAAUGGUUAGGUUUUACUGAAAUUUGCUUUUUGAUGUUUUGCAUUAUUCUCCUGUGUAAAGUCACUUGUUUGUUUCACAGUUAUGCGAAGCUUAAGUUGUUUGUAAGCAUUUUUAUAGCCUGUUUUCACAGUAAACAUGGCUUACUUCAGUGUUUCAGAUGGCACUUUAUAGUUUGAUGUAAUUGAUGUCUCUGCAGGUUACCGCAUUAUUGACUUGGAAACCAGUGAGGUCUGGAUGCAAGUGAAGCUACCGAGGGAGGCAUGUGUGCAUCACUUGUGCUGCUGGCCAUCCUCUGCAAAAGUGAUGGCUGGCAGUCAGUGCUUGGAUGACUUUCUGUUACUCUACGCCUUGGGCUGUGUUGACUACUUCACACUUGCUGCCAUGUCUGCAAGCUUAGGCAAAAAGACCGGCUGGAUGCUUGGCAGGAGAUAGUAUCCAACCGCAGUGUUACUGUGUUGUGUUGUACAUUACAAAGUGAUGGAGGACAGUAUUUGUGCUGUUAAGAAGUAUAAAUUGUGUUCUGCCAUUGAAAUAAGGGAACUCGACACAAAGCAAAAGAUUUCGAAGUCUGACCUACAUGGGAAAGCAAAAUAUAUUGUGUUGUAGUUGUAGCUGUUAGUAGAGUCUUAAUAUGCGAUAGAAGACCUUGAUGUUUAAUAGCAAAUAUAUUUAAGUGUGUUAUCAGUGUGUUAUCAGUGUUUAAGUUACUGUUAUGUGUCAUUUGUUUGCCAGGAUGAUGUAAGCAGACAGUAAAUAAAUGCAUGGUUUGAGAUUAUAACCAGGUUUGUCUAUGGCAUUCACUAUUAUUUAAGGUGGACCAAUGCAUAUUCAUGGGUGCAUAUUCAACCACCACAUUCCUCCUGCACAAACAAUUCCUACAUACUAGCGUUUGGUCUUAGCAGCUGAUGUUGGCUAUUAUACAAUUUCUUGAAAGCACAUGCAGCUACCGACACAUGAUUUUUAGAGCAGUAAGUCGGAAGCAAAGACUGAUUUUUUUCUGUGGUCUAAGCUUAAAUGAUAUGUUUAAGGAAAUGAACAUUUGUGGAAUAUAUUUACUUUCCUGCUGCGAGAACCUUUAUACGAGAACCUCUGCACAUUGGACGUGCAUGCUGCUUCUCUUGCUGUUAUAGCCAAAAUGAAAAAUUGUUCUUAUGAACCACUUCGCAGCUUUGCAUUGUGCACUUUUACUUGCAGUUAGCAUUUAUAUGCUGUGCUAUGGACAACAGCAAGACAAGUCAGGCAAACCACCAUGUGAAACACUUUAAAGAUUCUGGCUUAGGCGCGUUGGUACUAUAUAUAGUGCAAGACAGAUGAGCUGCCCGUACAGCAGCGCUGUCAGCAUUACACGGCUGACAGCACCGCAAACCCUUUAAUUUAUAUUUGUUUGACAGAUAAUGCAUUCUAGUAGUU
Dermacentor silvarum is the source of this 4399-nucleotide long non-coding RNA. RefSeq lists it as uncharacterized. NCBI's taxonomy places the organism in Eukaryota, Metazoa, Arthropoda, Arachnida, Ixodida, Ixodidae. The transcript has 3 exons. The record is from RefSeq and is a predicted model, not a curated record.